Manis javanica (Malayan pangolin) is the source of this 1447-nucleotide long non-coding RNA. RefSeq lists it as uncharacterized. NCBI's taxonomy places the organism in Eukaryota, Metazoa, Chordata, Mammalia, Pholidota, Manidae. The record is from RefSeq and is a predicted model, not a curated record.
UCGUCUCCCGAGGCGGGGCCGGCGGGAGGGCGGCGGGGUGGGCCUGCUGCCCCCAGCCCUCGUCUUCCCGGGCUUCGCCGGAUGCGGGCCGGGCUUUGUCUGCCGGGGAGGAACCCCCGGUACAGCCGUCCCUCCUCUGCUGCCGCUUCUGCCUGGUUUCCUAGCCGCGGUGAGACUGGGUGAUUGGUGCCAGCUGAUACCGGUUCCCUUCUGUUGGGAAGUUGAACAAGUUUUUUUUAAAGAUGUUUAUUAGCUGGAAAUGUUUUAUGAAGAAGAACUGUCCUCCACCUGCUUAUCUGAUUACCAUCAACUAUUUGAAAUACAGUUUGUACAGGAAAGGCAAGAAAAAUGCUGAAUUUUUUCCCUCUAAUUUCAGACUACAGUGGCCCAGCAACUGUUAAAGUUGCCAGAACAAAGGGGAUGGAGGCUUUCUUGGAAGGAAUUCAAAAUUGGGGAUGUGAUGAGGAAUUUUUGACAUCCUGUGAGGCAGAACCUCAGGAGCUCAUGAAACAGAUUGACAUAAUGGUGGCUCAUAAAAAGUCUGAAUGGGAAGGGCACACGCAUGCUCUGCAAGCUGGCCUGGAUAUCCGUGAACGGGAACUUAAAACUCUCAGGAGUCAGUUGGACACGAGUCACAAAGAGGUGAAGCGGCUGACUGAUUCCUCUUCCUGAUAUUUAGACCUUGCCUUUUUCUAUUAAAAGUGUUUCUUUAAUAUUUAUUGAAGAAAGUAUUUGUGUGUCAAGUUCAUUUCUACAGUUGACCCUUAAAUAACACGGGAGUGAGGGGUACCAACCCCCUUUGCAGUUGAAAAUCUGUAUAUGACGUCCGACUCCCCCACAACUUAACUAUUAUUAGCUCACUGUUGACCGGAAGCCUUACUGGUAACAUAAGUGGUCGAUUAACACAGUUUGUGUGUUACAUGAACUCUCUACUGUAUUCUUACAAUAAAGUGACAAUAAGGACAAUGUUAUUAAGAAUAUUAUUAGGAAAAUGCACUUAAGAGUGCUGUAUUAUUUAUUGAAAAAAAAUUGCAUUUAAUUGGACCUGCACAGUUCAAACCUGUGUCUUUUAACUCUGGUGGUUUCUUUUUGAAGAAAAAUCUAUUGUGAAAAUACGUAAGGUUAUUAAUACUUAUCUCAGGGCUGCACUGCCUUGCUCACAUAUUAUACAUGCAUAACUUUUUAAAGAAAAUGUCAUGGUUGUCACAUGAUCUUUGUAUGGCCUUCAUCCUGUUACUUACGUGUCCAUAUUAACUUUACCAAGAUUAGCGAAUGGUGUUUUUGGCCUCAUUGUAUGGUGUGUAAAAAAGUUAAGCCCCAAAUUCAAUAAUUUGCCUCUUCUGGUUAAAUACAAAACAAAACUCAGGGAAUUCUUUCAAAAAAAUCUAUAUUUGCCUCUGUUGAAAAUAAGGGGAAAAGAGGAAAAUAAAAAUUACUUGUAAUCCCA